AGCCUGGCGAUAGUUGUGCAGUUAAGGCUUGUGCGCUGUGAAUGAGUAAAACACUCCUGGCAACCUGACGUAGCUCCUUUCUGGCCUUAACAACUGGCCCUAACAAGAACCCAGAGUGCUUAGUAAUGCCAGUGUGUCUUGCUUCCUUGCUUCAUCACGUCUUGUGGGCGAAGGAGCAAAUCCGUAUAGAUGUGACUGUAGAGUUGAUAAGAAAGUUUAGGUCAUCACUGGUGUUAGAGUUACAGUUUAGAGGAGUGUUCCAGGCCUCAAGAAUAACCUUUGCUGUGUAUAUAUUUGUUCCAUCAAGUGUGGGGUGCCAACUCUGCUGCCACAUUCCUCAGAGAGACUGACAAGUAAAUACCAAAUCUGAGUGCCCCUGUGACAGUGUGGAUGAGUUUUUUGGGCCCAGAAUAUAACCUUGGCUUUGUGUAUAUCAAGUGUGGGAAGCCAACUCUGCUGCCACAUUUCCCAGAGAGACAGACAAGUAAAUACCAAAUCUGAGUGCCCCUGUGACGGUGUGGAUGAGUUUUCUGGGCCCAUGCAGGGUAAUGAGGUUCCCUUGGUAUCUGUUGCAAGUGCUGGUCUGAUGCAUGCUGGAGUGUACUGCAUCUGCCACUCACCAAAGAUGAGGGCUUUGCACUCCUUUACAAGCAAACAGCCCUGGCUACAUGAAUCACUAUAAGUUUAAUCCAUUGCAGGCAGCACUCACUCCCUGAAGAAGGUGCCGGAGAGGGGGGUCGGCUGCCGAGAUGGUCAGGCUCACCGGCAGGGUUGUGGACGCCAUGUCUGAGAAGCAGCCGCAGCCCGGGGUUAGACGUGGAGAAGGUUCAGUCCACCGUCCGCCAGGCUGUGCGUGACUGGUCUCCAUCAGGCACAUUGGAGCGGCCCCGUCACUAGCAAGAGUGACCUCCUCUUCCCCAGGACACUGUGGAGGUACUGUCUGGGUCUCCAUGGUGGCCGGCGUCAUGGUGUGGAGCCUAACACUCUGGGCCUUGCUCAGGAUCGUACAAACUGGCGUGGAGAAGCACCCGAUGAAGCUCACCCGGGCACUUUUCUACGGGUGGGGCCUGCUGCUCGAGGACACGCCCUAUGACCCGCCCGAGGGAACA
Eriocheir sinensis (Chinese mitten crab) is the source of this 1109-nucleotide long non-coding RNA. RefSeq lists it as uncharacterized. NCBI's taxonomy places the organism in Eukaryota, Metazoa, Arthropoda, Malacostraca, Decapoda, Varunidae. The record is from RefSeq and is a predicted model, not a curated record. The transcript is spliced from 3 exons.